Fukomys damarensis (Damara mole-rat) is the source of this 2897-nucleotide long non-coding RNA. RefSeq lists it as uncharacterized. Lineage: Eukaryota; Metazoa; Chordata; Mammalia; Rodentia; Bathyergidae. The record is from RefSeq and is a predicted model, not a curated record. The transcript is spliced from 6 exons.
AAGCAUUUGCAUGUAUCACAUGGCUAGGAACGCCCGACUUGCUGAAAUAGGAUUGACCAGUGACUUCUGACUCUUUCUUCCACUCAGCCCUUCUCUUGUUUGUGAACAGGGUCUCAUGGUAUAGCUAAAGCUGGCCUUGCAUGUGUAGUCCUCCUGCCUCAUCUUCCCAAGUGCUGGGAUUUGGAGGAGAUUUUAACUGUCCUGUUGAAUGUGCCUUGUGGUCAGACUUAAAAGGGGAGGACAGGCACUGGAACAAAAUGAACUCCCCAGCCUAAGUGAUCCAGGUGAAUGAAUGGCUUCUGGAGUUUACCUUCAUUGUUGCUGCAACACAGUAGGUCAGACUUCAUGUGUCCUUCCGGAACAGACUUCAAAAUAUUCCAAGCAUCAAAGUGCAUGAGCCCAGCCAGGGAUUUCCCGUUAAUAGCAAGAAUUUCAUCUCCAGCUUCUAUUGUUCCUGCUUGUUCUGCUGCACCACCUGUUAGAACAAAUACAGAAUAAGAGGGGUCCAUCUCCAGCCACAGACGAUCUGCCUCCAUCCAGACUCAGUCCCAGUCCAGCCGAGGUCUUCAGCACUUCAACGCACAGAGCCUCGUGUGGAAAAUCUUUGGUGCCCAAACAGAAAUUCCCGAAGACAAAUGACCCUUGUCAAGCUCUACAUUCUGGUGGUCCACAUCUCAGGGAGGAUGGAAGUCACACUGAGGGAACAAAUUGACUUCCUGCCACGCCUGGCUACCACGGCAAUAGAGGGUCACCAUCUGGUACUGAAAUGAGCAGCACCAAAGUGGCCAGUGUCAUGUGAGACUGUCCUAAUUACCUGCGAAGCACCAGACCAGGCAGAACUUCCUUCCUUGCCCCAUACCCUUUCUGCUCUCAGAGGGGUUGCCCUGCCUCUGGAUACAACUUUUCUUCCUCACACACUGACUGUCUUUAUUGGCUUCAGGCUCCACUGUGGGGGGAAGUGUUUCCAUAGUGAUGCUUGCUCCACAGCAACCAACUUGCAUCCACUGUGUGCUAGUUUAGAGAGGCGAGGCUGGCGUCUGCACAGGGACUGUAAAUUUGCCUUUUAAUUUCUCUGACUUAGUUUUGUACAAGCCAAACAUGUUAGAGUUGUAUGGAAAGGUGCUCUUAGCUGCCUGGGAGGCAGGGGGAGGCUCAUAAAAGUAUCAAACUGCACACUUAACAUAUUCGUUAGAGUUGAGGCCAAGCUACCAUCAUCACCUUUGAACAUAAAGAUCAGUCCAUUAUUGUGGUGUAAAGAAAGUGAAUACUAAUACUGGGAAUAACAUGCUCUUCCCCCCACCCCUAGGGAUCGAACGCAGGAGCUUGUGUGUGCCAGGCAGGUGCAGUGCCACUGAGCCACAUCCCCGGCACUUCAGCAUGCUUUUUAAAUAUGUGACUUUACUUGCUAUUGAACAGAAAAAGGUCUGUUAGAGUGGCUGCCUCCUGGAAUCAUCUGGGAAUAUUACAGAGGUAUUACUGUUGGACCCCUCAGUAUUUCUAGUUUAAUUUAGCAAGGAAACUUCUUGGACAUCAGGGUUUUAAGAAAGCUUUCUACUGUAAUCCCAGCAUUUCAGAGGCUGAGGCAGGAGGAUCGUCAUGAAUUUGAGGCUGGUCUAGGCUACACAGUCCAAGUCCAGCCUGGACUACUUAGUGAGAUUCGGCCCCUGCAAAGCUUUCUAGGUGUCUGCUAUGUCAAAGUCAGAUAUUCUGUGUGUAUGGUAAGGAAUACAAUUGCAUAGGAUGAGCUGGGCCCACAGUAGGGGGACCACAGAGAAUAGGAAUAAACUUAAGCUUUCAGGGGCUUACAACUUGGUCUGGAUCAAGGCCAGACCCCAAGGGUGCGACAGGAGUGCCUCGUGAUUGUAAAUGAUAGUAGGGAAGUCUAUAUCUGAGCUUCCAAGUCUCACGUGCUGUGGAAGCUCAGGAUGCAGUGCCACGUGUUUCCCUGGAUCAACCAAAUGCCCAGGACGCCAGUGAAAAUGCACCGAGCAGCUGAGUCAGAUGGGCCAAAGGUGAGCAUGAAUGGGUCUGAUGACCAAGGAGCCCCACUAUCAGGAAGGCUCUGCUUUCUGGAGGACAGAAAGUGUCCCUGUGCUGCUGCAGAGGCAUGUGUCUCAGCGGAGUUCGUUCAGUGGAGCUUGCACAAAUAGCUCAGGCCACAGUGAAGCCCUGUAGAGUUCAGGCAUUAGCUACCCUUGACAUCAUCAAGAGAGGCACUGAGAAGGAACAAAAAGCCCACCCUAGAAGGUCGUGGAUAACCUGAACCUCUGUGGACUCUGCCUCCUGGACUAGAGAGUGCCGCCAAGCCUGAUGCGGAGGUAGAGGGCCCCCAUGGAAGGCUGAGGUGCUGAUUGGAAGGCUGUGAUCAGCCAGUGCAUCAGAAACGAGCCUCUGGUAUUGAGGCAUUGAGCAGCACAUUGUGGAGGCACAGAGAAAACUCUCUGAGCCCUGUCUAGCAGGCUCCUCUUGGAUGAUGAAGGCUGCAGUUCUUGUUUUCAAACACAGUAAGAUAUCUGCUCCCUCAUUUCCUAAAUUCUUCUAAAACAGGAGAGCCAAACUUGAUGUUUUCCAGGGACACUGCUCAUUCUGGAAUUUUUCCAUCAAGAUUGAUCUCCCUGUGACAAGAUUUCCUUCUUUUACGUACCAGCCACUUAAGUCCUUACAAGCAGAUGUAAAUACGAAAGGGCUUUCUUCUUAGGAGAUUUAGAGAAGUUGCCAAGCAAUCAUUUAAGAUCCUCAAUAGUUAGUAUGGCUUUUAGUACUGAUCUUGCAAAACACUAGACGUCACUACAUUUAAUUUUUCUGCCCCAAGAAUUAACCAUUCUUUUCUUUUGUAUUCAUCGAGGAUCUAUCAGCUGCUCAUAUCCUGCUAGUUGUUAAACUGCUCUUACCAGUUC